This 419-nucleotide ribosomal RNA is filed under the name uncultured bacterium. RNAcentral describes it as "bacterial SSU rRNA". It matches the Rfam family "Bacterial small subunit ribosomal RNA", at positions 356 to 772 of the family's 1533-position model. The record is from RNAcentral.
AAGGAAUAUUGGUCAAUGGGCGCAAGCCUGAACCAGCCACGCCGCGUGAAGGAAGACGGCCCUAUGGGUUGUAAACUUCUUUUCUACGGGAAUAAACCUCAGGACGUGUCCUGAGCUGAAGGUAUCGUAGGAAUAAGGAUCGGCUAACUCCGUGCCAGCAGCCGCGGUAAUACGGAGGAUCCAAGCGUUAUCCGGAUUUAUUGGGUUUAAAGGGUGCGUAGGUGGGAUGAUAAGUCAGAGGUGAAAGCUAGCAGCUUAACUGUUAAAUUGCCUUUGAUACUGUUAUUCUUGAGUAUAGUUGGCGUUGGCGGAAUGUGACAUGUAGCGGUGAAAUGCGUAGAUAUGUCACAGAACACCGAUCGCGAAGGCAGCUAACGAAACUAUCACUGACACUGAUGCACGAAAGCGUGGGGAGCAAA